AAAUCAUAAAAUAUCAGUUCAUACAAUGUUGAUGGUAUAGUCCAUGGUCACCUGACCCUCUUAAGCGCGCCACCAAGCGCUAUUUAUAGUGUGUCCAGGAAGUGCCUCAGUUUGGCCCAUGCCUGGAGGCAACCAGAGGCAGCAGCAGCAGCCUCCUCCACACUCUCAGUAAAGAGUAACUGCGAAUUGGAUUUCUCUUGUGGAGGAAGUCACAAACUCACUUUGAUGUUCCGUCAUUGAGUUACCCUGCAUGAAUGCAAUCCAGCAACCCAGGGAAGAAGAGAAGAGAGUAUAUACCAAAGGGAUGAGGAGGAUGUCCUGCAGGAUGAUUAAGAAUUCCCUGCUGGCUGCUGGCUGCUGCAUUAGUAUGGAUGCUGAGUAGGUGAAAGUCCUCUCUUGAUGCUGUGACCCUCAACUGCUGUCAGGAACUGAUUCAACCUUUCACUGCUGUGAUCGUGAAUCUGCUGCUGUAUGAACUGAAGAUAAGGGCUCUCAUAUGGAUACACGGACACCUGGGAUGCUGGAUCAUCACAGCUCAGGGAUGCAUACACUGUCUGAUCACAUCCUCUGCGGCUCAUGUGAAGGCUGCCAACGUGACCUGACUCUGAAGCUUGGGUUUGUGCUGAGACAUUGUUUGUGUGCUGUAUGGCAUCACUAUGCAUGGACAUUUCUGCUGGGGGGAAAUAUCAGCGGGCGGGUCAGGGAUGGAGAAUUGUUUUGUUUGCUUUUAUGGGUUCAUGUGAAUGUCAGUGAAUGUUAGUGCAGUGGGAUGAAUGACAAUCCGCCUCCUCCUGCACUCUGAUGUUUUCUUCACUCUGACCCUACAGUGUUGACAAAAUGGAAAUGAUCAGGGUGUAAGGCAGAUGAUGCAAAGCGUCAGUGGAAUAAUGUGAAAGCUAUCAGAGUAAUGAGGUGACACUGAGGCUCGACCCCUCUUCAUCUGUCUCUAUUUGUCUGUGUUUCCAGCAGCCAUCAGCCAGCGCUUUUCAUUUCAUGUUCUGAUGUGAUAGUUAAUUUCCACACUACUGCAUCCAUGGCUGGAAGAAAUACUCAGAUACUUUACUGAGGUAAAAGUAGUAAUACAUCAAUGUAAAGAUAAGUUUAUUGCUAUAGUUGCAUUUGAAAGUUUAUUU
Thunnus maccoyii (southern bluefin tuna) is the source of this 1133-nucleotide long non-coding RNA. RefSeq lists it as uncharacterized. Lineage: Eukaryota; Metazoa; Chordata; Actinopteri; Scombriformes; Scombridae. The record is from RefSeq and is a predicted model, not a curated record. The transcript has 4 exons.